RNAcentral lists this non-coding RNA (187 nucleotides) under Neobacillus vireti. RNAcentral's name for it is "Bacillus vireti T-box sequence". It matches the Rfam family "T-box leader". Rfam says of the family: Uncharged tRNA acts as the effector for transcription antitermination of genes in the T-box leader family. The record is from RNAcentral. Lineage: Bacteria; Bacillati; Bacillota; Bacilli; Caryophanales; Bacillaceae.
AUAAUUGCAGUGACGGAAAAGAGUAGUUAGUCAACUCUAUAAAAGCGAACCUAGGACAGUGUAAGCUAGGGUAUAGGGCACUAACGAAGGCGUUCUUGAGCAAUCAAGUGUUGUAAUAACACAACUUAAAGAGGCUGCUAUCAUGGCAGCAAAUAGGGUGGAACCGCGGGUAACUCUCGUCCCUAUG